GGAGGAAUACCCAAGUCCGGUUGAAGGGGCCAGUCUUGAAAACUGGAAGGUCUACAAAGACGCGGGGGUUCAAAUCCCUCUUCCUCCGCCA
This 91-nucleotide transfer RNA is filed under the name Candidatus Phytoplasma australasiaticum subsp. ipomoeae. Its description in RNAcentral is "tRNA-Ser". It matches the Rfam family "tRNA". Rfam says of the family: Transfer RNA (tRNA) molecules are approximately 80 nucleotides in length. Their secondary structure includes four short double-helical elements and three loops (D, anti-codon, and T loops). Further hydrogen bonds mediate the characteristic L-shaped molecular structure. tRNAs have two regions of fundamental functional importance: the anti-codon, which is responsible for specific mRNA codon recognition, and the 3' end, to which the tRNAs corresponding amino acid is attached (by aminoacyl-tRNA synthetases). tRNAs cope with the degeneracy of the genetic code in two manners: having more than one tRNA (with a specific anti-codon) for a particular amino acid; and 'wobble' base-pairing, i.e. permitting non-standard base-pairing at the 3rd anti-codon position. The record is from RNAcentral. Lineage: Bacteria; Bacillati; Mycoplasmatota; Mollicutes; Acholeplasmatales; Acholeplasmataceae. RNAcentral also lists the same sequence under 3 other names.